RNAcentral lists this ribosomal RNA (484 nucleotides) under uncultured bacterium. RNAcentral's name for it is "partial 16S ribosomal RNA". It matches the Rfam family "Bacterial small subunit ribosomal RNA", at positions 29 to 507 of the family's 1533-position model. The record is from RNAcentral.
AGUGAACGCUGGCGGCAGGCCUAACACAUGCAAGUCGAGCGGCAGCGCGGGGGCAACCCUGGCGGCGAGCGGCGGACGGGUGAGGAAUUCGUCGGAAUCUGCCUUUUUGUGGGGGAUAACGUAGGGAAACUUACGCUAAUACCGCAUACGUCCUACGGGAGAAAGUGGGGGACCGCAAGGCCUCACGCAGAAAGAUGAGCCGACGACCGAUUAGCUAGUUGGUGGGGUAAAGGCCCACCAAGGCGACGAUCGGUAGCUGGUCUGAGAGGAUGAUCAGCCACACUGGGACUGAGACACGGCACAGACUCCUACGGGAGGCAGCAGUGGGGAAUAUUGGACAAUGGGCGCAAGCCUGAUCCAGCCAUGCCGCGUGUGUGAAGAAGGCCUUCGGGUUGUAAAGCACUUUUGUCCGGAAAGAAAACCCUGGAGCUAAUACCUUCGGGGGAUGACGGUACCGGAAGAAUAAGCACCGGCUAACUUCGUG